RNAcentral lists this ribosomal RNA (1536 nucleotides) under Salmonella enterica. RNAcentral's name for it is "partial 23S ribosomal RNA". It matches the Rfam family "Bacterial large subunit ribosomal RNA", at positions 622 to 2141 of the family's 2925-position model. Lineage: Bacteria; Pseudomonadati; Pseudomonadota; Gammaproteobacteria; Enterobacterales; Enterobacteriaceae. The record is from RNAcentral.
AGCGACUUAUAUUCUGUAGCAAGGUUAACCGUAUAGGGGAGCCGAAGGGAAACCGAGUCUUAACCGGGCGUUAAGUUGCAGGGUAUAGACCCGAAACCCGGUGAUCUAGCCAUGGGCAGGUUGAAGGUUGGGUAACACUAACUGGAGGACCGAACCGACUAAUGUUGAAAAAUUAGCGGAUGACCUGUGGCUGGGGGUGAAAGGCCAAUCAAACCGGGAGAUAGCUGGUUCUCCCCGAAAGCUAUUUAGGUAGCGCCUCGUGAAUUCAUCUCCGGGGGUAGAGCACUGUUUCGGCUAGGGGGCCAUCCCGGCUUACCAACCCGAUGCAAACUGCGAAUACCGGAGAAUGUUAUCACGGGAGACACACGGCGGGUGCUAACGUCCGUCGUGAAGAGGGAAACAACCCAGACCGCCAGCUAAGGUCCCAAAGUCAUGGUUAAGUGGGAAACGAUGUGGGAAGGCCCAGACAGCCAGGAUGUUGGCUUAGAAGCAGCCAUCAUUUAAAGAAAGCGUAAUAGCUCACUGGUCGAGUCGGCCUGCGCGGAAGAUGUAACGGGGCUAAACCAUGCACCGAAGCUGCGGCAGCGACGCUGAUGCGUUGUUGGGUAGGGGAGCGUUCUGUAAGCCUGCGAAGGUGGCCUGUGAGGGUUGCUGGAGGUAUCAGAAGUGCGAAUGCUGACAUAAGUAACGAUAAAGCGGGUGAAAAGCCCGCUCGCCGGAAGACCAAGGGUUCCUGUCCAACGUUAAUCGGGGCAGGGUGAGUCGACCCCUAAGGCGAGGCCGAAAGGCGUAGUCGAUGGGAAACGGGUUAAUAUUCCCGUACUUGGUGUUACUGCGAAGGGGGGACGGAGAAGGCUAUGUUGGCCGGGCGACGGUUGUCCCGGUUUAAGCGUGUAGGUGUGUGUUCCAGGUAAAUCCGGUUCACUUUAACACUGAGGCGUGACGACGAGGCACUACGGUGCUGAAGCAACAAAUGCCCUGCUUCCAGGAAAAGCCUCUAAGCAUCAGGUAACAUCAAAUCGUACCCCAAACCGACACAGGUGGUCAGGUAGAGAAUACCAAGGCGCUUGAGAGAACUCGGGUGAAGGAACUAGGCAAAAUGGUGCCGUAACUUCGGGAGAAGGCACGCUGACACGUAGGUGAAGUGAUUUACUCAUGGAGCUGAAGUCAGUCGAAGAUACCAGCUGGCUGCAACUGUUUAUUAAAAACACAGCACUGUGCAAACACGAAAGUGGACGUAUACGGUGUGACGCCUGCCCGGUGCCGGAAGGUUAAUUGAUGGGGUCAGCGCAAGCGAAGCUCCUGAUCGAAGCCCCGGUAAACGGCGGCCGUAACUAUAACGGUCCUAAGGUAGCGAAAUUCCUUGUCGGGUAAGUUCCGACCUGCACGAAUGGCGUAAUGAUGGCCAGGCUGUCUCCACCCGAGACUCAGUGAAAUUGAACUCGCUGUGAAGAUGCAGUGUACCCGCGGCAAGACGGAAAGACCCCGUGAACCUUUACUAUAGCUUGACACUGAACAUUGAGCCUUGAUGUGUAG